Molecule: ribosomal RNA, 305 nt
Filed under: Priestia megaterium
Lineage: Bacteria; Bacillati; Bacillota; Bacilli; Caryophanales; Bacillaceae
Description: Bacillus megaterium partial 23S ribosomal RNA
Source: RNAcentral
CUUAGGACCGUUAUAGUUACGGCCGCCGUUUACUGGGGCUUCAAUUCAAAGCUUCGCUUACGCUAACCUCUCCUCUUAACCUUCCAGCACCGGGCAGGCGUCAGCCCCUAUACUUCGCCUUGCGGCUUCGCAGAGACCUGUGUUUUUGCUAAACAGUCGCCUGGGCCUAUUCACUGCGGCUCUCUCGGGCUUGCACCCUACCAGAGCACCCCUUCUCCCGAAGUUACGGGGUCAUUUUGCCGAGUUCCUUAACGAGAGUUCUCUCGCUCACCUUAGGAUUCUCUCCUCGCCUACCUGUGUCGGUU